AAACUAUGUUGUGGGCAUGAACUAACGAGAUCCUUUAACCGCUCCCAACAUUAGAAGAAUGUUUCGUAUUCCUUUUGGGCAAAGUUCAUGAUCAACUUCCUAAUAGU
Magnolia sinica is the source of this 107-nucleotide small nucleolar RNA. The record is from RefSeq and is a predicted model, not a curated record. Lineage: Eukaryota; Viridiplantae; Streptophyta; Magnoliopsida; Magnoliales; Magnoliaceae.